CCCUUAGAUGUUCUGGGCCGCACGCGUGCUACACUGAGUGGAUCAGCGGGUCAGGUUGCGCGAAAGUGUUUCCUAAUCUUGAAAUCCGCUCGUGAUGGGGAUUGACGGUUGCAAUUUUCCGUCAUGAACGAGGAAUACCUUGUAAGCGCGGGUCAUCAUCCCGCGCUGAAUACGUCCCUGCCCUUUGUACACACCGCCCGCCGCUCCUACCGAUUGAGUGGCCCGGUGAGGCUUUGGGAUCUGAGCGGAAAGAGCGUUUCGCUGUUUCUGCUCGGAAAACUCAGUCGAACCUUAUCAUUUAGAGGAAGGAGAAGUCGUAACA
This 322-nucleotide ribosomal RNA is filed under the name uncultured eukaryote. Its description in RNAcentral is "partial 18S ribosomal RNA". It matches the Rfam family "Eukaryotic small subunit ribosomal RNA", at positions 1470 to 1796 of the family's 1831-position model. The record is from RNAcentral.